RNAcentral lists this ribosomal RNA (246 nucleotides) under uncultured Lactobacillus sp. RNAcentral describes it as "partial 16S ribosomal RNA". It matches the Rfam family "Bacterial small subunit ribosomal RNA", at positions 116 to 355 of the family's 1533-position model. Lineage: Bacteria; Bacillati; Bacillota; Bacilli; Lactobacillales; Lactobacillaceae. The record is from RNAcentral.
CGUGGGUAACCUGCCCAAGAGAUCGGGAUAACACCUGGAAACAGAUGCUAAUACCGGAUAACAACAGAUGAUGCCUAUCAACUGUUUAAAAGAUGGUUCUGCUAUCACUCUUGGAUGGACCUGCGGUGCAUUAGCUAGUUGGUAGGGUAACGGCCUACCAGGGCGAUGAUGCAUAGCCGAGUUGAGAGACUGAUCGGCCACAUUGGGACUGAGACACGGCCCAAACUCCUACGGGAGGCAGCAGUC